CGAAAGCGCCAUGUACCACGCAUGUACAAUUCUUCGACGCCGCGUACGCUGUUUGCGAGCUCUAUGCAUUUCACCACAUGCCGCACGCGUAUGCAUCGCCAUUGGUGCAUUUAUCGGAGCACCUGCUAGGAAAAUUCCUAUGGAUACAUGGCGGCCGGGGAGUUUGGCUUGGAUUCUGUAAUAGAUGUGGGAAGUUUUGCCGAAGAGUUCCGCGAGAGACAAUGUCAGCCAACCCAAAUCCAAUGAGUCGUCCCUGCAGUGCGGCCUACCUGUAUAUCUACCAUGAUGCACUUGUUGUAUGACAUCUGUCAGAUUUCUAUCUGUUAGCACUUUUAGAAGUUCAUCGAUACAAAGUUACCGGCACUUCAAAUUGAAGUUCAAUUCUCGAUUGUUGAGUCCUAUCGAUUUAUAGUCUUUACCCAAUAUAAAACAAAGUCCGUUUGCCACAUGUAGUCUACAUAUACGAGUUGCUGUGUAGCUGGCACCUGUCAUACGACACAUACAUUUAGGCAUACAACGGACACCAAUCACUUGUCAAAGCACCUUUCUUAGUCACCGGCACCUAUCAUACCUUCAUAUAGGCCUACAUCGAACACGAAACACCUGUCAGAGCACAUUUCUUAGUCGCUGGCACCUUUCAUACCUCCAUAUAGACUUACACCAGUCACCAAGCACCUGUCAGAGCACAUUUCCUAGUUGAUGGCACCUAUCAUACCUCCAUAUAGGCCUACACCGGACACCAAGCACCUGUCAGAGCACAUUUCUUAGUCGCUGGCACCUAUCAUACCUCCAUAUAGGCUUACACCGGACACAAAGCACCCGUCAGAGCACCUGUCUUAGUCGCUGGCACCUAUCAUACCUCCAUAUAGGUCUACACCGGACACCAAGCACUUGUCAGAGCACCUUUCUUAGAAGCUGACACCUAUCAUACCUCCAUAUAGGCUUACAGCGGAAACAAAGCACCCUUCAGAACACCUUUCAUGGCGUAGCACGUUUUUAAUCCAACAUAAUUUCUUGCUGCACCCGAUGUCAAACACACUGAAGCACUGUAUCUGCUAGAGAACUUCCUUCAUAGUGGAUAUCUGGUCGUCCAUCUGCUGCAGCACAACUUUCACGACACCGCUACCUGUCCCUACCAAAGACAAUCAUCAUGAAGAAAUCCAUCCUUUUCGUUUCAGGAACACUCUGGGCUUUCUCUGUAUUCGUUGGAAAAUCAUGUCCCUCUGCGAUCUACCCGUUAAAUUCUGAUGAUUCAAAUGAUGGCGCCAUUUUGGAAAAGAAUAGUAACAAAUUAGAUUUACCACGUGAUAUGUCGCAGCCAAUCAUUGCCCGUUUCGCCAGGGAUGUAACAGGUAAUAUAUUUAUUAUUGUUUUCAUAUUACAUUCUCAAAGUCAUUUUCAUCCCUUCUCGAUCACUUGUCAUUUGGUAUACUCUCGUUACCUCCAUUCUUCUAAAGAAGUGUUUCUGAUU
Molecule: long non-coding RNA, 1471 nt
Organism: Strongylocentrotus purpuratus (purple sea urchin)
Lineage: Eukaryota; Metazoa; Echinodermata; Echinoidea; Camarodonta; Strongylocentrotidae
Exons: 3
Source: RefSeq, a predicted model, not a curated record